UGGGGAAUAUUGGACAAUGGGGGCAACCCUGAUCCAGCCAUGCCGCGUGUGUGAAGAAGGCCUUCGGGUUGUAAAGCACUUUUGUUGGGGAAGAAAAGCACUGGGCUAAUACCUUGGUGUCAUGACGGUACCCAAAGAAUAAGCACCGGCUAACUUCGUGCCAGCAGCCGCGGUAAUACGAAGGGUGCAAGCGUUACUCGGAAUUACUGGGCGUAAAGCGUGCGUAGGCGGUUUGUUAAGUCUGUCGUGAAAGCCCCGGGCUCAACCUGGGAAUGGCGAUGGAAACUGGCGAGCUAGAGUACGGUAGAGGAGAGUGGAAUUCCCGGUGUAGCAGUGAAAUGCGUAGAGAUCGGGAGGAACAUCAGUUGCGAAGGCGGCUCUCUGGACCAGUACUGACGCUGAGGCACGAAAGCGUGGGGAGCAAACA
This 427-nucleotide ribosomal RNA is filed under the name uncultured Arenimonas sp. RNAcentral describes it as "bacterial SSU rRNA". It matches the Rfam family "Bacterial small subunit ribosomal RNA", at positions 355 to 774 of the family's 1533-position model. The record is from RNAcentral. Lineage: Bacteria; Pseudomonadati; Pseudomonadota; Gammaproteobacteria; Lysobacterales; Lysobacteraceae.